Eutrema salsugineum is the source of this 729-nucleotide long non-coding RNA. RefSeq lists it as uncharacterized. NCBI's taxonomy places the organism in Eukaryota, Viridiplantae, Streptophyta, Magnoliopsida, Brassicales, Brassicaceae. The transcript has 3 exons. The record is from RefSeq and is a predicted model, not a curated record.
GAACAGUAGUGAUUAGUGAGGAAGCUCACAUGAAUCAAGGGGCCUUUAGUUUCGCAAUACAGAACCGGAAAGCGAUGACGACGAGGGCAAUCUCGAGGAGAUUCAGAUGAAAAAGAAAGUGAAGAAGAAUCAAGAAAGAGAAGCAGAGUCCUCUUCACUUGAUGCCUCUUAUUUUGUGGCUAAAGUCUCGCCUGCGAACCUACGUCAAGACAAUAUCUCAGAUUCAGAGUCACGGGCAGAGUUAGAGAGAGAGACAGAAGACAGAUCAUCAAGGUUGUUCUCGUCGUCUAAACAAGACUCAUACUGAAUCUCACAGCAACUGGGUCCCAUGAGUGUGAGUGUUUGACAUGGAAAGCCAUGUCUUUCUCUUGUCUGAAGAUGGCAAUGUCACCGACUCGAAGAUCGUGUGCAAGAGCGAACUCUUUCCAACCAUCAGUGAGUUUCUGGCCAUCUUCUAGCUUCACUUCCCAUGUUAUGUCCGACGCGUCUGAUCUCAGCUUCGCGCCUUCGCCCUAUAUACUUCAAGAAGAAAGCUACAGGAAUUUUCUGAAGCAAACAUGCAAAUGCAAAACAAAACCCAUCUCUCAAUUAGCUUCUCACACAGAUAUAGAAAAAGGGAGAGAGAAAGAGAGAGAGACAAAGAGAGAAUACCAAGUAGCUAUGGAAGCCAGGAAGAAGAUGCUUGUAAAAAUGUUUAUUCACCAUCCUCAGAAGCUUCAGAAGCUCUAA